Long non-coding RNA from Triticum aestivum (bread wheat), 648 nucleotides. RefSeq lists it as uncharacterized. NCBI's taxonomy places the organism in Eukaryota, Viridiplantae, Streptophyta, Magnoliopsida, Poales, Poaceae. The record is from RefSeq and is a predicted model, not a curated record. The transcript is spliced from 3 exons.
GCGCCUAAUUUUUGAGCAGUACGAGCUUUACUCCAUCCGAACAAGAGCUUCUAUGCCAUGCAGAGGCACCUUCAUCCCUGUUCUCUCGGUGCUAGCCAACCAUCUGUUUCAACCUCCAUCAUCAGCAGAUUCAUCCAUGUCAAACCAGCAUCCUCCUGCCUGUGCUCCCUCCUGAUCCGGUGAUCCCCAUAGUCGCCCCCCAUCUGGUUCCGCCAUUGAGGGCACAUGCGGUGUGCCCUGUUUAGGAACUUGGGACCGGAAUUUGAUCGAUCGCUAACACAGAAAUUUCGCGGGGAUGCGCAGAGGAUAGAUGGGGAAGUUUCACAUCUGAUUCUUCUUCAUCAAGUGGUGCAGAAAGAUCUAUGAUAGGUUACUAGAUCUGGUGGCAAUUGGUUGAUCAGGUGUGGGCGUGCAGCAUGUCAAUCUGGUUCUGCAUAUAGAUGAGUUCAACUGCUUCUUCAUAGACUUGCUUUAUAAAACUGCAUUUUUGACUACUACAGUUGUUUAGUUGCUAAGUUGCUAGCAUUAUGCGUCUGAACACCUAGCAUAAUUUAUUUCUUCCUUCGUGCGUUGUUAUCCCGUUAUUGCUGUGAUAAUGAAAUCCUCCCAGAAAAUAAUAAACCUGUCAAACCAUUGAGUGAGACAAAA